GGACUACAGGGGUAUCUAAUCCCGUUCGCUCCCCUAGCUGUCGCCUCUCAGCGUCAGGUACCACCCAGGACACUGCCUUCGCCUUUGGUGUUCUUCCGGAUCUCUACGCAUUUCACCACUCCACCCGGAGUUCCGUGUCCCUCUGUGGCCCUCAAGUCUGCCCGUUUCCGUACUCCUCGACUCGGUAAGCGAGUCGCUGUCGGCACGGACGCCGCAGACCGCCUGCGUGCGCUUUACGCCCAGUAACUCCGGACAACGCUCGCUCCCUACGUAUUACCGCGGCUGCUGGCAC
Molecule: ribosomal RNA, 292 nt
Filed under: uncultured bacterium
Lineage: Bacteria
Description: partial 16S ribosomal RNA
Source: RNAcentral